This 253-nucleotide ribosomal RNA is filed under the name uncultured bacterium. RNAcentral's name for it is "partial 16S ribosomal RNA". It matches the Rfam family "Bacterial small subunit ribosomal RNA", at positions 524 to 776 of the family's 1533-position model. The record is from RNAcentral.
UACGUAGGGCGCAAGCGUUGUCCGGAAUUAUUGGGCGUAAAGAGCUCGUAGGCGGUUUGUCGCGUCUGGUGUGAAAACUCAAGGCUCAACCUUGAGCUUGCAUCGGGUACGGGCAGACUAGAGUUCGGCAGGGGAGACUGGAAUUCCUGGUGUAGCGGUGAAAUGCGCAGAUAUCAGGAGGAACACCGAUGGCGAAGGCAGGUCUCUGGGCCGCAACUGACGCUGAGGAGCGAAAGCAUGGGGAGCGAACAGG